This 169-nucleotide ribosomal RNA is filed under the name uncultured bacterium. Its description in RNAcentral is "partial 16S ribosomal RNA". It matches the Rfam family "Bacterial small subunit ribosomal RNA", at positions 340 to 526 of the family's 1533-position model. The record is from RNAcentral.
UACGGGAGGCAGCAGUGGGGAAUCUUGCCCAAUGGGGGAAACCCUGAUGCAGCGAUGCCGCGUGAGUGAAGAAGGCCUUUGGGUUGUAAAACUCUUUCGUCGGGGAAGAAAAUGACUGUACCCGAAUAAGAAGGUCCGGCUAACUUCGUGCCAGCAGCCGCGGUAAUAC